AGGGGUAUAGCCAAGUGGUAAGGCAGCGGGUUUUGAUCCCGCCAUUCCCUGGUUCGAACCCGGGUACCCCUGCCA
Molecule: transfer RNA, 75 nt
Filed under: Succinivibrionaceae bacterium
Lineage: Bacteria; Pseudomonadati; Pseudomonadota; Gammaproteobacteria; Aeromonadales; Succinivibrionaceae
Also listed under: 1 other name
Description: tRNA-Gln
Rfam family: tRNA
About the family: Transfer RNA (tRNA) molecules are approximately 80 nucleotides in length.
Source: RNAcentral